UAGAGGGAGUUUGCUGUUUCUGCCGAUGAUCCAGUCGAGCUUUUUGAUCCGGGCCCUUGUUUUAGUAUGGCAUGACGGAUUUUUUGGCCAGGAGUUGCCCGGCUAACCUUGGAGCUGGAGUGUGUUGCUGCGCAGACCAUGAUAAUGCAUCAGCCAGGAGCCGCUCCAUAUUUUCGUUGGCUUGUUUUGGACACAGGGCAGAUACGAGG
Molecule: small RNA, 209 nt
Filed under: Drosophila pseudoobscura pseudoobscura
Lineage: Eukaryota; Metazoa; Arthropoda; Insecta; Diptera; Drosophilidae
Description: GA31504
Source: RNAcentral